GUAUGAAAUAGAUAAAAAUAAUCAUUUUGAUCAUUUUGAAAAAGAUCUUCCCCUUUCUUAUAUAAGAAGUGUUCAAUUUGUAAAUUUUUUUUUAUUGAAGUAGAGAUGAUUCAUAAAAAAAUUUUAUUUUUCUCUUCCUUAUUUUUAAUAUCAGAGCAAUAAAUGUGAAAGGAAUGUUUCUUUCUCUUUUUUUCAUUUUGAUAUCAAAGCAAGGAUGAAAUCAUUUGAACAAAAAUUAAAAGAGAAAAAAUUAGAAUAUUUUAUAAAAUUAAAAAUAAAUAUAUCGAGAUAUUUUGGCAUUCAUGCAAAAAUAAAAUUAUCAAAAAUACCAGAGCACUGAAAAAAAUAGAUAUA
RNAcentral lists this long non-coding RNA (354 nucleotides) under Elaeis guineensis (African oil palm). Its description in RNAcentral is "long non-coding RNA (EGUI_LNC020796)". The record is from RNAcentral. Lineage: Eukaryota; Viridiplantae; Streptophyta; Magnoliopsida; Arecales; Arecaceae.